UUAAUAUUUUUAGUGUAUCUAACACAUGAAAUAUACAAGGACACAAAAAAAAAAUGGUAAACAAAUUACGUUAUUUGUCAUUUGUAGUGUAGGAAAAAAAGGGGAAAAUACUUAAUAACAAUUCCACCUCACUUAUACGUCAAAGUACAAGGGCACAUCAAAUGCAACUGCAAACUUUCACUAUUUUGUAAGGAGCAAGCAUACUUAUCUAGAGCACUUCAUACUAUCAAUUAAUCCGUACAAUCACCCUCUCAAUCUUCAUCAUCUGAGCUUCCCUCGUUACUACUAUAAUCACUACUGUCAUCACCCUGAUCAAGAAUAUCAAGCUGUACAUGUCGAACCUGUAUUGUCUCAGGUGGCUUAUGCAAUCCCUGAGGAGCACCUGGCUGCAAUUGUUGCUCCACCAUCCUAGGCACAGGAAGAGACUCAAAUGGAGGUAAUGGGUCCCCAGGCUUCCAUCCUGGUGGCGGCGGGGGUAAAUCUGUAGGCAAAACCACCGGCAUCCCAGGUUUCCACCCAGAUGGAACUGUGAUAUUGGGAGGAAGCAGGCUCUGAAUGGCAGCAUAAUUGGCAAGCGGAUUGGUCUCCUCUGGUUGUGGCUGGGGGGGAGGCUCAAUGAUUGCCUCAAUGGUUUUCUCCUUAGUUUCGACCUUUUUAGGCAAUCCCACGUCGAGGUCAGCAAAAGCGUACAACUGAGAAGCUCGCAUUUGCUCUUCUUGUGGAGCAGGAGGAAGUGCCCCACGAAGCGGAGCCUGCCCAGCACCAAAAUCAGGCGGCGCAAAAGUGGUAUAACUUAUCCGGUGAGCAUAAGAUAAAAUAUCCGAUAACUCGAGCUGAGAGGCAACAGUGGUAUUGCUCACACCAUCGUCCUCUAAUGAUUUUGUUUUUGCCCGUUUAGGACGGCGAUAAUCAGAGUAAUCAUCGACGAGGAUAUCAAGGACUCUUUCGGCUUCUUUGAGCUUAUUGGCGAAGUUGAGAAGCGCAGAAUCUUUGGAUUUGAUAUCGCGAGCAAUUCUUUGCUUGGCAUCUUGGAGGUCAAGGAUUUCUUGGAGCUCAGCAACGGCUUCAAAAAGUUGGGUCUGGAGGGAAGUGAAAAGAGAAAGAAUUUCUUUAGUGGAGGAAGGAUUGGAUUCGAGUGGAGGCGGAGGCAUUGAUUGGAUCUGAGAGGAGAGGAAUGUAGGUAGCGAUCCACGAAUGGUGGAUAGCCAAAGGGAUCGAUUGGGGGAGAC
RNAcentral lists this unclassified non-coding RNA (1229 nucleotides) under Hevea brasiliensis (rubber tree). The record is from RNAcentral. Lineage: Eukaryota; Viridiplantae; Streptophyta; Magnoliopsida; Malpighiales; Euphorbiaceae.